RNAcentral lists this ribosomal RNA (687 nucleotides) under Triticum aestivum (bread wheat). RNAcentral describes it as "partial small subunit ribosomal RNA". The record is from RNAcentral. Lineage: Eukaryota; Viridiplantae; Streptophyta; Magnoliopsida; Poales; Poaceae.
AUGAAGUCUCGAAAUCUCUACUCCCUUCGCGAGGAUCUAAACAAGGCAGCGGUUGCUGUAAUCUGGAUGCCCCUCUUCUUCUGGAUACCCAUCGGCUGCGCGUUCUUCCGCUUGAACGGCCUGCCUCCCAAGUUCUCCCUUCAGGUCACCGACGCCACGAGUCCCGAAGCUCCCCAGACGGCGGUUCCGGCCGACCCCGUCUCCAGCAGCACCGCCUUCAACCUCACCCUGCAUGCCGUCAACCGGCGCCCCGGGGACAGGUGCUACCGCCACGGCGAGGCGGCUGUGCUCUACUCCGGCCUCACCGUCGCGUGGGGCCGCACGCCGCGCUUCUGCGUGGGCGCGAUGGAUGCACGGGACGUGACCGUCGUGGCGUGGGCCGACGACGGCGUCGAGCUGCCUACGUUGCUCAGAGACAAGAUGGCGGCGGAGCGGCGUGCCGGCUCGGUGGAGCUCGAGGUCGAUGUGCGGCUGUUCCGGGGCGACGACGGCUCGGCCAGACCCACGUGGAUGCGGUGCAAGGUGACGACGGGUGGGCCGAAGCCGCCGGACGGGGUUCCAUGCACCGUGUUCGCUCAGAAGAACUGGGCCUCGGAUAUCGGCCCGUAUUGGAUGCAGACGCUUAUGGCCUCUGGGUGUAGUCGGCUCGAAACGAUUGUGCAUGAUUUAUUCAAUCAGUUUGGUUGA